CCAGCAAACAUAGAAGAAGAGACGACAAAAAGACUUUUGAAGAACAUAUUUGUAUAUGAUAUGGCAAACACAUGAAAACAGAAAACCAAUCUCUCAUUAUUACAUAGAAGAAUCAUAUCCCCUGUGAUUGAACAGGUACUGCUGUUGAUGACCUCAGCAACGGUUGCAGAGCUUUUACCACAAUGCUCAUGUUCGGCCUAAACUCUGAUUCAUAUUGCACACACAACGCUGCAACAGCCGCAAGCUAAGAGACACAAGAAGGAGAAAACAUUUCAUAAUUAGCUUCAAAAGUGAGUGGUUACACAGGUAAGAGAUGAAAACUUUUAUAUUACCUUUGCAACUGCUUUAGGAGGAUAGUCUCCUUUGAGUUUAGGAUCAACACACUGCUUCACUUUGUCUUCACUUAGCCUCGGAGUGGCCCAAGUGACAAGACUCUGCUGGCCGCGAGGCAUUGUAUGAUCAACAGGCUUUCUACCAGUCAAAAGCUCCAAAAGCACCACACCGAAACUGGAACAAAGAUAACAUCUUGAAAAGCCUCACUCGAUCGGAGGUCUUCCGAUGAUCCACAAUAUAGCAAGCGAUGCAAUGUACUUAAAAGAAAUCUCACCUCAACCCCUAUCCAAGACGAAGAGCCAAGAACUAACAACAGGCCGUAGAACCAAGAAUGUUGGGCACGUUAUUAAUUAAAAUUCUUUGUCCCAAAAAAUAAAAAAAAAUUAGGCACACUUUUUAGAGUUUAGAUAGUUUUCCUUAUAAGAUUCAAAACUAUUGUUAUUUAAUUAAUUAAACUCGGUUAAAUAAAAUAUAUAAAUUAACUUGAUCGAUUAAGAAACUUGAAUAGGAAACGUUCUUGUGUUGACAAAAAAAAAGGAAACGUUCUUGUGAAAUCAAAGCAACAAGAGAGAGGCACUUGCGACCGAUUGAUUCAACCAAUCUUCAUCCGGAUAAGUAACUUGACAAUAGGAAAUAAUGGAUAGGAAAGAUCGAUCAUACAUAUCAUGCAAGGACAAGUAACUUGACGACUUUCUUCUUAACUUGCUUAAUAAUCAAACAAAUUGCACCAGGUAACUUGCUAGAUUCUCCCAGAUGCAUGGCGGCCUUUUUCUUUUAAUAGACAAUGCACAACAUGGCAAUGGAUCCACUAAAUUAAGGGAUUUUCGGCAUAGAGCUAUUGAUUCAUCUCAUUACAUGCACCCCCAUGCCACGUCGCGAACUAAAAAGCUUGACGUUCAUUCUUACUAGUGGUAAGUGAUUGGUCAGUCAGAUUUUGCCAUCGGACGUGUUCGUCAAAGAGAUUGAUCAGGAACAGUAUUGGGAAGCUCUUUUUCCAUUAUUUGAAGGGUUCAAAUUAGCGUAAUAAAAUUGAAAAUGAUGAUAAAGAUCUCACUUAUUAGAAAAAAAUACUUAGUAUUGUGGCUAUCUUUGGCAAUACAAAAGGGGAAAUCGAAGCUAAACAGAAUUGUACAAGUAGAAAACUCAAACCCAAUUUAUUAAUUUAGAACUAAAAAUCUGAUCUUCAAAUAAAAUGGUAUAAUAUUAUGGGCAAUUAUCUCAAAUAGCAAUUUAUAAGUUUUUGUCACAAAAAUAGACCUCAAGAAAAAAAUGACCAAAAUAGCUCUUUUUUAUUUUGAAAAUUUUAAUAUUUAUUUUUUAUUUUUUUAAAUUUGAAACCCUAUCCCCAAAAUUCCACACCUUUAUCUCUAAACUAUAAGUCUAGAUUAGUUAACCUUAUAGUAAAAAUAUAUUUUUACCUUUAAUAAAACUUAUUUUGAUCAUUUUUUUUCAUUGGAGGUCUAUUUUUAUGACAAAAAAUUAAAAAUGACUAUCAUAAGAAAUUUCUCAAGUAAGUAUUAUUCACUAUAAUUGUCAAUUAGUAUCUUAUAAUGUUAUUAUAUUCAUUGCAACAUUUUAUAAGAAUAUCUAAGACUAAUUAAUAGUUAUAAAAAAUGAAGAUGUUUGUAUCAUUAUAAUCAUCCAAACUAGCUAAGCAUUGUUACUAGAUUUAUCUCUCAAAAAUAGCUAUCAUUAACAUUGCAAUUCAAUUUUUGUUUUCACAUCAAAGCAACGAUUUUUUGUUGAAAUAAAUGAAUUAUAAUAUAAAUAGUAUAUAAAAUUAGGCACAUUCUUAAAUAGCUUUUCCUUGCAGAUUCAAAACUAUACUAUUAUUUAAUUAAACAAAUAAAUGUUGGUUGUUGUUGUGUAAUCAAAGCAAUUAGAGAGAGUACUCGCGAGUUGCGACUGUUUCAAUCAAUCAAUCUUCAUCUCUCUGGAAUUCGAGUUAUGUGGGAGAAGAUCGUGACUUUAGAGGGAUGAUGCUUCGAUAAAACUGAUCGUUUAUGUCAAGUGAGGUUAAGCUUAGAUCCAAGUUUUGAUUUUGAAAUCUAUUUGCUACUUAACUCUCUGUUUCUAUUGUUUUGAGAUUUGAUCGUGGAUGUUUUGAGAAUCCUUGUUUUGAUUCUGUUACUUAGCUCAACAUUGAUUGAUUUGACUGAUUCCUUUUGCUCAAAUUCAACUGAAAGUUGCUACCUUUGUCGUGACUUCAUGUUUCAUUCAGGUUGGCUCAGAGUCUAUAAGUUGGUUCAAGAUAAAAAAGAUGAAUGGGAAGGUUGUGUGCAGUGUAUGUCGUAGCAAAACUAUUUCGAGGGCUUAUGAUGAUCAUAAGACUAGAGUGACCUCAAAGCAACGCGUCCUCAAUGUCCUUUUGGUUGUUGGUGAUUGCAUGCUUGUUGGUCUACAGGUAGGUAAAACCAUCUCAGCUUGUCUUCCAUGACCAUGACAUUUUACAUAUCAGAAUAACUUAAAAGUUACUUACCUUUCCCUUUUUUUUUCCAGCCUGUGUUGGUGUACAUGUCCUAUUAGUGUCAACUUCUUGACGGAAAUUGCUAAAGUUGUUUUUGCGAUUGUGAUGCUUUUAAUCCAGGUUUGUUUCUGAACUGACUUCAACAUGUACACUCUAGUAUUUAGAAACUAGUUGCUAGAUGUUUCUUCUGCGUUAGGAGAUGAAAAGUACCAGAAGUUCAUUUGGAUAUUUUCUCGAGUAACUUUUCCCUUUUCUUGAUUAACUUGUACUUUGAAGUUUGAAUGUGAAAAGGAUCCCACUCUGUUCUGUGCAUAAAGACAAUUUCUCUAUUUCCAAAUUGUUACCUAUUGUUGACUCGCUCGCUUUUCUGAGGAUGGAUCUAUUACUACUUAAUGGUUUGUGUUCAAACUGUAGGCCAAGCACCAAAAAGUUGGAGAGAAGCCACUUCUAUCUGUUUCAACAUUUGUCCAGGUACUUCUUCUUUGUCAAUUAAAGAGUCUGUACUAGGAUUUUCCUAGGGCACAUCCUCACAUUUGAAGCUAGUUCCUUGACCUUUUGUUACCUGAUCGCUUACACAUAUCUCAUCUGCGGAUCACUUUUUUUACACAGUUCAUUGGGUUUGUUAGAUUGUGGAAUGUGAAUGUUACUGACAGAACAUAUUAUUCUAAUAACUUGAAACUUCUAAGUUCAAUUGGUUGACUAUUUGUAAUGGAAAUCGCAUUUACAUGAGUCUAUUUUGCAGGCAGCUCGAAACAAUUUGCUUCUUGCUGUUCCAGCCCUGUUGUAUGCUAUCAAUAACUAUCUCAAAUUCACAAUGCAGGUACAUCCACUUGUUCUUUUUUUCAUUUUGGCAUACGUUAGUCUAAUUAAGCUUCUGAAAUGUAGGGAUAUGAUCUACUGUCUGAGGUUUUGGCUUUAUGAGAAUGGCAUGUCCUGUGGUGUUCUGUUAAUUCCAAUUUUGUUGAUUCUGUAUUUUGUGAAUUUCCUAGUCAGACACUACUUAAAUGCACUCUAAACAAAUGACUGAUCACCAUUUUCUUAGGAUAAUCCUGCUACUUAAAUGCGUCCGUAAGACCUGCUAGUCAUUGCGUUAUAAAACUAGUUGUCUUUUGGUGAUAGAUGUUUGAGUCUAGUUGGUAACAUUAUUCUUACAUUGUGCAUUGCAGAGCUCUCCUUCUAAUUCUUAUACUAUUUGGUUCUAUCUUUCAUUCUUUCAUGUAUUUUUAUUUCAUAUACUGAAAGUUUCUACUGUGCCAGCUAUACUUCAAUCCUGCUACUGUAAAGAUGCUUAGCAAUCUAAAGGUUCUUGUCAUUGCUGUUCUAUUGAAGAUGGUGAUGAAGCGGCGGUUUUCCAUCAUUCAGGUGAGGUUCAGAUAUUCUUAUUUUUAUAUGUGCAUAUGUCUGGUUUUCAGUAUCAGAAAAUAUUAUUGUGGAAGUUUUGUGUAGCCUUCCAUCCAUAAUUACACCUCUUAUUCUCGUUUGGAUUUUAUCUGUUUUCAUAAUUAUAUUGCUCACAUGCUGCUUAUCUUUGUUUUUGUUGUAGUGAGAGGCACUUGCUCUGUUGCUGAUAGGGAUUAGUGUAAAUCAACUGCGCUCUCUUCCUGAAGGUGCUACUGCCAUUGGCAUUCCUCUUGCUACGGGUGCAUACAUCUGUACCUUUAUCUUUGUAAGUUUCUUUUUCCUGUGCUUAUAUUUGCUCAUCUUGAAGUUGAAUAUAUAAAGUGGUUCCGUGCACAUAAUCUGCUUUCUCAUGCUUCUUCAUUGAUUUGAUGCACUAUGGAAAGUUCUUAUUCAAGAAUCAUGCUAGAGACUAAUUUUUAAAAUUCACGUGCAGGUUACUGUCCCAUCGAUGGCGUCUGUCUUCAACGAGUAUGCCCUGAAGAGUCAGUAUGACACAAGCAUCUAUCUUCAGGUUAGAUAGUCCUGAUGCAAUUUUUAAUCCUGCAUCAUGGAUUGAUAUGUGUGUAGUAACAUGAAACUUUGUGUGCUUGGUUACUUGUUAUGUUUUUUGAAAAUGAUGUGUUAUCAAUGAAAUAGAAGCAGAAAUCCUUGGGCUGUUGAACUCUUUGUUCUGUUUUCUGAUCUUGUUAGCUCUGUUAUGGCUAAAAUUCCACAUAUUAGGGUACAUAGCUAGAUUCUUAGUAAUGUCAAAUUCUAAGAUCAUGGUGUUCUACACCUGUGUUGACUUCUUCUUCGUUUGUCUUUUUUUGUGUGUGUAAUUGUCGUCUGAUUGACAUUAUUUUCUGUUGCAGAACUUGUUUCUCUAUGGCUAUGGUGCGAUAUUCAACUUUCUUGGCAUACUAGCAUCUGUUAUAUAUAAAGGUAUUUGCAUUUGUUUUAGAAGUGUCGGAAGAAAAUAAUACGUUUUUAGCACCAUGAUAGCUUCUGAAAAUCCUAGUAGAUAAUCCUGAGAACUUCACGAUGCAUUGCUUACAAAAUUUAUCAUUGACAGGUCCUGAAAGCUUUGACAUCCUACAAGGACAUUCUAGGGCAACCGUGUUUCUAAUAAUGAACAACGCAGCACAAGGGAUCCUAUCCUCCUUUUUCUUCAAAUAUGCAGGUAAUUACUUAAACUAAGUUUUGUUAGAUCCAUUUAGCUUAUGUCUUAGUUUGCUUGAGUUUAUAUCUGGAGAUUGUGAAUUUUGUUAUAUGUAGUUAAGAGUAUUUGUUAACAUAUCUCUGAUGCUUUUCAGAUACAAUCUUGAAGAAAUAUUCAUCCACAGUUGCCACAAUCUUUACCGGGAUAGCAUCUGCAGCACUCUUUGGACAUGUUAUAACCAUGAACUUCCUUCUUGGGAUAUCUAUCGUUUUCAUUUCAAUGCACCAGGUAAACCUCAUAUGAACCAUAUCCCUGCUGAAUCAAACUCAACAAACUCAUUUCUGUGUUGUUUAUUUAUCGUCUCAUUUAUGUAUAGUUCUUUUCACCACUUGCCAAAGUGAAAGACGAGCAACAACAGAACGGGAGCCUAGAAUUAAGCAAUGCAAAGGAUACUCACAGGUUAGUGACAGUAUACAUACUUCUUUAUCAAAUCUUGUUCAGACAUCGCCGUACCUACACCAUUUAACUUCUUUUCCUUGUUAUUUCCUUCAGGGCUGAUGAUUCAUUCAUCAACAUGGCCGCAGGAGCAAAUGAAGAGGUGAAUAACAAUAAAUUUGUGAAGCCAGUUCUUGAACAUGUCCCAACCUAAGUCUGACACUAAUGAUCAUUGUCUUUUUGUCACCGUCUCUGUUCAGGCUACUCACAGUGGUGAAUCAGACGAUAGAACACCGCUUCUUCCCAGAUGAAAUGUUUCUUAAAAAUAGGUAACAAAUUCUCACCUUUCAAGCUCUAAAAUAUCAUCCAUUAUCUAAUCAGAUAGAUUCUUACCAAAGAAACCUCUAGAACCAAAUCUAGGUUGCAGAAAAUGUGCAUCUUUCCACUAAAAAAGAGUAUAAGCUGAAUGUUAUUAAUAAGGAGAGUCAUCAUCUACUUUUGUACCUUGUCGCUGCAGGAUUUUUGAACUCACAAGGAGUAUGUUCCAGGUUGCAUAGUGAAGCAAAUUUUGAUGAGACCCAACUCUUGAUUCUCUCAAGAGUCGGUUUUAAGUUCAUGGAAGAACCUCUUGUCUAUAGAUGUGUAUUGUCUUAAGAUAGAUUGAGCAAACUUGUUUAAGUGAUACAUAACAUUUUGUAUUCUUUGGUUUUUUGCGAAAUAUCAGGUCACUUUUCCGCUCUUAAGACUGUUAGGACAAAGAGGAAAAAAACACAAAUAUAUAGAAUACUUUUAUAAGAAUCGAACAACUCCAGCAAACAUAGAAGAAGAGACGACAAAAAGACUUUUGAAGAACAUAUUUGUAUAUGAUAUGGCAAACACAUGAAAACAGAAAACCAAUCUCUCAUUAUUACAUAGAAGAAUCAUAUCCCCUGUGAUUGAACAGGUACUGCUGUUGAUGACCUCAGCAACGGUUGCAGAGCUUUUACCACAAUGCUCAUGUUCGGCCUAAACUCUGAUUCAUAUUGCACACACAACGCUGCAACAGCCGCAAGC
RNAcentral lists this long non-coding RNA (6827 nucleotides) under Brassica napus (rape). RNAcentral describes it as "long non-coding RNA (BNAP_LNC026901)". The record is from RNAcentral. Lineage: Eukaryota; Viridiplantae; Streptophyta; Magnoliopsida; Brassicales; Brassicaceae.